GAUGAGAACGUAGCGAAAUGCGAUAAGUAAUGUGAAUUGCAGAAUUCAGUGAAUCAUCGAAUCUUUGAACGCACCUUGCACCCUUUGGCAUUCUGAAGGGUAUGCUCGUUUGAGUGUCAUUGUACUCUCACACUCCCGAUCUUUGCAUUGGGAGCAGUGGACUUGGGUUUGCUGCUUCACCGUCGCUUACCUCAAAUAGGUUAGUGCAACUCUUGGUUGGACAUAGUACGGCGUGAUAAGUGUUCUUCGCCGGUGCCUCGCAAAGAGGGUGGCCGAUCGGGAUGUUGUGCUCCAAACCGUCUUCGGACAAUCUCUGACGACUUGACCUCAAAUCGAGUAAGACUACCCGCUGAACUUAAGCAUAUCAAUAAGCGGAGGA
RNAcentral lists this unclassified non-coding RNA (379 nucleotides) under soil metagenome. RNAcentral describes it as "partial contains 5.8S ribosomal RNA, internal transcribed spacer 2, and large subunit ribosomal RNA". The stretch from base 5 to 119 matches the Rfam family "5.8S ribosomal RNA", at positions 40 to 154 of the family's 154-position model. The record is from RNAcentral.